AAACAAAAUCCCCCCUUUCUUCUCCUCCUGAAGCUUUUCUUAGCCCUGUUUAUGUCAGUCAAUUUGCAUGCCUUAAUGCACUUAAAUAGAAGCCUCUGAUGGAAAAACAUUCUUCAUCAAAGUUUUUCAUCAUCAUCUCUUCUAUACCAUAUCCAAAAAUCAGUGCGAUCAGAUCUGUAAUGCAGUCUGUACAUCGAUCUAAGUAGAGGUUGCUCAGAAAUCAGUAGAUUUCGAGUUUCAACUUUUCUUUAUCCUCUUUCCUUAUCAAGAUUCCUCAAAUUCCUUUGGAAAUAAUUCUAUUAUGAGUGGUGUUCCUUGAUAUAUGACUGGGCUUGGCCAAAUUCGUCUUGUCUCCAUCUUUUCCUGUCAAAUUUCAUGAGGGAACUCACCCAUACGUUUGAUUCAGUGGAUUAGGGCCUCCUAUAACUCAAAGGAGAUCAGUGGACGAUGGCGUUGCAUAAAUUAUUCUCCCAAUAUCACUUAGCUUUGGACUCUAGGUAUGGGGACUCACCCUAGUUAGUGGUUUUCUAUAUUGUUUUAUAGUUUGAAAAUUGGUUUUCUAUGAUUGAGAUAAUGAGGGUGACCUGAGAGUGAGAGGAGCAUAGCAACUUCCUUGGGCUUCGAUCCCCUAAACCUCCGGAGGGGCCGUAUGGACAGUAGAGUGUCUAACAUCCUUUGAGGUGUGGUACUGCUUCUAGGUGAUACGGCGUAAGUGGACACUCUCGCUACGCCAUGCCGGUUUAAACGAUAGUAAUCGUGUUAAGGUAGUUGGCUUUAUGAUCGGUCAUCAGGUUUGUUAAUCGGAUAUCCGAAUAUUUGAGUUUAUAGAAAAUGUUUUCAAUGUGGAUUUUAUCUAUAUAUGUAGUUUUACUUACUCGCCGGCACCUAUGUUUAUAUAUUAGAAUUUUUUUCAAACCUAGCUGGGGUUGAGCCCUCUACUGGGCUAGCGACGACGAUUGCUCACCCCUACAACAGUUGUGUGAUUGCAGGUAUUGUGCACGAAGACGGGACAACUAGGAUUGGCGAUGGGUGUGGCAUGCUUUCUCUCAAUUUCAAAUUUGUGUAUUGUCGAAAAGUUGUUCCCGUUAACAGGUUUUGGAUUGUGGAUUCCAAAUCCUAUUAUCUAUCUCAUGAUUCUACCUAUUUCAUAAUUCCUUGUUUUGUAGUAAGUUUGUAACAAUUGAUCAGAACAUCUUCUUCAAUU
Rosa chinensis is the source of this 1204-nucleotide long non-coding RNA. RefSeq lists it as uncharacterized. The record is from RefSeq and is a predicted model, not a curated record. The transcript has 3 exons. Lineage: Eukaryota; Viridiplantae; Streptophyta; Magnoliopsida; Rosales; Rosaceae.